GCAAGUCGAACGCGAAAGUCACUUCGGUGGCGAGUAGAGUGGCGAACGGGUGAGUAACACGUGGACAACCUGUCCGGAUGUGGGGGACAACUUUUGGAAACGGAAGCUAAUACCGCAUUCGCUCGGAGAUCGCAUGGUCUCUGAGGAAAGGCCGCUUCGGCGGCCGCAUCCGGAGGGGUCCGCGGCUGAUUAGCUAGUUGGUGGGGUAACGGCUCACCAAGGCGACGAUCAGUAGCCGGCCUGAGAGGGCGAUC
This 254-nucleotide ribosomal RNA is filed under the name uncultured bacterium. RNAcentral's name for it is "partial 16S ribosomal RNA". It matches the Rfam family "Bacterial small subunit ribosomal RNA", at positions 57 to 305 of the family's 1533-position model. The record is from RNAcentral.